This 693-nucleotide ribosomal RNA is filed under the name uncultured bacterium. RNAcentral describes it as "bacterial SSU rRNA". It matches the Rfam family "Bacterial small subunit ribosomal RNA", at positions 94 to 820 of the family's 1533-position model. The record is from RNAcentral.
AGUGGCGGACGGGUGAGUAACGCGUGAGAAUCUGCCUUCAGGAUGGGGACAACAGCGGGAAACUGCUGCUAAUACCCAAUGUGCCGAGAGGUGAAAGUAAUUCGCCUGAAGAGGAGCUCGCGUCUGAUUAGCUAGUUGGUAGAGUAAAAGCCUACCAAGGCGACGAUCAGUAGCUGGUCUGAGAGGAUGAGCAGCCACACUGGGACUGAGACACGGCCCAGACUCCUACGGGAGGCAGCAGUGGGGAAUUUUCCGCAAUGGGCGAAAGCCUGACGGAGCAAUACCGCGUGAGGGAGGAAGGUUCAAGUAAUUGUAAACCUCUUUUAUCAGGGAAGAAAAAAAUGACGGUACCUGAUGAAAAAGCAUCGGCUAACUCCGUGCCAGCAGCCGCGGUAAUACGGAGGAUGCAAGCGUUAUCCGGAAUUAUUGGGCGUAAAGCGUCCGCAGGUGGUAGUACAAGUCUGCUGUCAAAGACCAGAGCUUAACUCUGGGCAGGCGGUGGAAACUGUAAUACUAGAGACCGGUAGGGGUAGAGGGAAUUCCCAGUGUAGCGGUGAAAUGCGUAGAGAUUGGGAAGAACACCAGUGGCGAAGGCGCUCUACUGGGCCGGAACUGACACUAAGGGACGAAAGCUAGGGGAGCGAAAGGGAUUAGAUACCCCUGUAGUCCUAGCCGUAAACGAUGGAUACUAGG